RNAcentral lists this ribosomal RNA (437 nucleotides) under uncultured bacterium. Its description in RNAcentral is "bacterial SSU rRNA". It matches the Rfam family "Bacterial small subunit ribosomal RNA", at positions 958 to 1392 of the family's 1533-position model. The record is from RNAcentral.
AACGCGAAGAACCUUACCAGCCCUUGACAUCCCGACCGCGGUUUGUGGAGACACAUUCCUUCAGUUAGGCUGGAUCGGUGACAGGUGCUGCAUGGCUGUCGUCAGCUCGCGUCGUGAGAUGUUGGGUUAAGUCCCGCAACGAGCGCAACCCUCGCCCUUAGUUGCCAUCAUUCAGUUAGGCACUCUAAGGGGACUGCCGGUGAUAAGCCGAGAGGAAGGUGGGGAUGACGUCAAGUCCUCAUGGCCCUUACGGGCUGGGCUACACACGUGCUACAAUGGUGGUGACAGUGGGCAGCGAGACAGUGAUGUCGAGCUAAUCUCCAAAAGCCAUCUCAGUUCGGAUUGCACUCUGCAACUCGGGUACAUGAAGUUGGAAUCGCUAGUAAUCGCGGAUCAGCAUGCCGCGGUGAAUACGUUCCCGGGCCUUGUACACACCG